This is a long non-coding RNA of Oncorhynchus tshawytscha (Chinook salmon), 366 nucleotides long. The record is from Ensembl. Lineage: Eukaryota; Metazoa; Chordata; Actinopteri; Salmoniformes; Salmonidae.
CCUACCUGGUUAAAUAAAGGUGUUCUCAACUAGUCCUACCUGGUUAAAUAAAGGUGUUCUCAACUAGUCCUACCUGGUUAAAUACAGGUGUUCUCAACUAGCCUACCUGGUUAAAUAAAGGUGUUCUCAACUAGUCCUACAUGGUUAAAUAAAGUUGUUCUCAACUAGUCCUACCUGGUUAAAUGAAGGUGUUCUCAACUAGUCCUACCUGGUUAAAUAAAGGUGUUCUCAACUAGCCUACCUGGUUAAAUAAAGGUUUUCUCAACUAGCCUACCUGGUUAAAUAAAGGUGUUCUCAACUAGUCCUACCUGGUUAAAUGAAGGUGUUCUCAACUAGUCCUACCUGGUUAAAUAAAGGUGUUCUCAA